AUCAGUACUUAACAGUUGGUGCGAGGCAGUUGAGACAGUUGGUGACCAGUUUGUUAGGGACUUCUGAAACGGCUUGCCAAGGCGGUGUGUGACGCCAUGAUUUCCAGAGACGUGCUCCCGGUCUACUCGACACCCAGGACCCAAGGCAAUAGCAGCUUUACAGAGGUGGGCCACCUCCACACACAGGUGCAGACUGAGAAAAAUGACUCCGACGACAGGAUUAAAAUUAGCACUAUUAGGUCCUGGACCACCCAAACAUCAUCAAGCUGUUCUACAUUGUCGAAACCAAAGAGCACAUCUACAUGGUGAUGGAUCAUACUGCUGGGGAUAUCUGGUGAAUCACAUUGAGAAGUGGCAGAAGAGAAAGGGCCCGUCUCUGUGGUUGUUGAAGCGUGAGGAACAGAGAUCAGCCUGGCAUGGCUGGCUUUCGGGAAGAAGCCAGGCCAGAGCUCCAUGGGCACAAGUUCCUGCACUGUCCGUCCAGUUGCUGGGUUUUAGCUACGCUUCCUGCUCCUUCAGCUUCCCGUAACACCAGCUAUGAUACUUUGGUCAAGCUGGUUAACCAUGGCGCCAUUAUCCCAGCUCCUGACCUAUAUUUCCAUCAUGUUCUGGAAUCUUGACCACCAUCAGAAUCUCACUGUGUAGACCUGACUCUUCUGGAACUUACUGUGUAGACCAGACUAAACUGUAGCUCACAGAGGUCUGCCUGCCUCUGUGUACUGGUGACCUGUCUGGAUGAGUUCACCAGAAAUGGAAGAGGCCUUCACUGUCUGCUUGAACCAUACUAAGUUCAUAUCCACCACCCCUUCGUUUCUUAUUAAGGCAAUGAGAUGUGCUGAGUCUUCAUUGAUGUCCACCUCCCUGAGAAUCAUUUGGCAGUCAAGUUGCUGCUGACUCUGCUGUGGGAUAGUUGUGGGCUAGAAUACCCUCGUCGGAAUGUCACAAUCGAAAGUCGACAGAUCGCGCAUUCCUACUGCAGCGUGCCCCUUUCAUGUUGAGUGAAGUGGAAGAUCUGGCUCCAAGGGACCAAAGUUUGGAGUAACUCCAUGGACAGACAACCCCUGCCCACUCGGAAAGUUCACAAACAUCCAGCUGCCAGGGAGAAGCUUGAAGUCUGUCAGGCAGAGCCAACAAGGACACAGUGUCCUGCCAGGAGGGAGCCUGGAGAACACAGAGGACAGUAGGUAACCUGGACACCUCUGUCCUCUCCAAGUGUGGAAAUUGGUCCUUGCAGGGAAAGAAGCCUGGCACUUGAGCAGCGUCGUUGGUCUGUCGCUGACUGUGAGGACCUUGCUUGCAGCCUUGCGGCUGUGGCUGGGGACCAUCUGUUAACAUCAGACUCUCUUCUCACAGGUUUUGAACAAAGGCAUAGGGAAGCCAUUACAAAAGAGGUGGGGUGGGGGUGGGGGCCAUGCUUAUAUCCCUGGAAGACGUGUUUCGAGGAAUGAAGAGACCAGGUGUGAAAACUGGAAGGGACACUAACUGUGUCAGUGUAUAUUAAUUCAGUGUUUUCUGGCAUAUCAUAACUGCAGUUUGUUCCUACUUCUAGUGAGUGAUAUGAAUACAGCUCAUUAGUGGCUUUUGAAUGUGAAAUCUAGUAGAAAUGAUUGCUCAUGCCCGAACAGCUCCCUGUGAGCUUUGUGCCCUAGAUAGGGCAGCAUGAGCCCCAGUGUCCACUGUGGUACUGUUAGGCAUGAGGUGAGACAGGACCCUUCCAGGGCAUAUCAAGGCACCUUUGACGUGUCCCUUCUCUUGCUUUCAGUUUCAGUAUUACAGUACAUAUUGUCCAUGCCCACAGAUAUUUCUGUCCAUCGCUUGAGCAUGAACUCUGUGACCUAAACCUGAGCAAGCUCAAGAAUGUAAUGUAUUCUUCCCUGAGCAUGCUUAGGCGUGCCCGUGAACUUCUUCAAUGAGCGUGCUCAGAAGUGCAGUGACCCUCUUCACUGAGGAUGCACAGCAGUGCAGUGUCCUCCUUUCCAGACCUAUACAUCUCGUAAUAAGUCUGAAGUUCCCUGAAUGGAGUCCCCUUGCUUUCUUUGAGAAGGCCAUUGCUUUUCAGAUGCCGCCUUGUUCUUCCAGCCCACUGCAAGUAGUCAUCCUUUCUCCUCUCUUUAUAUCUCAACUUAGGCUUUGCUGCCACCAAUAUGAGAGCCCUUGGUGCUUAAUCCAGGGCCCUUGUAGCUACCAGGGCUCUUGUAGCUGUAUCCAGCAGCAGUAGUAGCAGCAGCAGCAGUAGCAGCAGCAGCAGCAGCAGCAGCAGCAGCAGUAGCAGCAGCAGCAGCAGCAGUAGUAGUAGCAGCAGUAGUAGUAGCAGCAGCAGCAGCAGCAGCAGCAGCAACUACAACAACAGCACAAAUGUGAUUUUUACAUUUGUUCAGAAUCAGAUCCCAAGUGCAACCUAACCUGGCUGUGGCUCCCUCCAUCAGAGCAAACAAGAAAGAGCUGUCCCACCUGGAGGAUCUCAAGUUCCUCAUUUCACGAUAACAGUCACCUGGGACUGUUGGCAGGGCUAGUUGAUGCUCCUCAGAUGGUGAGCACCGUACAUCCUUCUCCUGCCUCUGCUGAGACAUUAUCUUUAUCUGCUCAGGAAGAUUUUCUGGGAUAUUUGCGAGGGAAAAGAGGCCUGGGUGGGUGACCUUUUUACCCAAGGAAAACUAAACAGGGACCAAGUGGGGUGGUGUUCAAUAGUCAGCCUCCCCAACUGUGGUAGCUCCUUAAGGGAUAUCAACCCUCAGGGAUGCUCCAGGUGAUCAUGACCACAAAGUGAUAUCCUAUUUAGCCACUCAAAAAAAAAAAAAAAAAAAAAAAAAAACGGAAACAUUACUGUGUACCUACUCAGUGUCAAUCCCGGAUACCAGACGACUGUAGACCAGCUCGCGGGGCACCCAUGCUCUGCUGCCUGUCGCCCUUGCAUACCAUUCUCACAGGAUGGUGCUGUGGGUGCCAACUGAGGCAUUCGUAUUUUCGGCACCAGUGAAGUCAGCAUGACAUCCUGUGCUACCCAUCCUCCCUAGAGUCAUGUCAUGGUGACAACCACAGAGACAAAUGUGAACACCAUAGGCAUAGCGUCCUAGGAUAUCACCAGGAGUCAGACCCGUGUCACACUUCAGCUUUCAAGAUCAACAAAUGCAGGAUCUAGAAGCUAAAAUCAGGUGAGGAGUCAAACUGUGAAGGACCGAGAACACAACACUGCCGCCUGUCAACCCCAAGCAGGAGUCAGGAAUCCCAAAGUUAAGAGGCUACAAUGAAGGGAGAGGGCAGUGGGGCACCACAGGAAACCUGGUAGGCAUAGCUGCCAAGAUGGAUGCACUUCUGUAUUUUAUCUUUGCUUCUUGAACGCCCUUUGCAAAUAAAGCAUCCUAACUUGUUAUGGGGAAUGCAACUUGUUAUCUGCCACCUUAGAAGGACCAAUCCCGCAGCAUCACUCAUAUGUAGGAACCUGAGAAAGUUGAGCCAGACGCAGACAGCAGAGGACGCAACCAGAGGCUGUAGAGGGAGGAGGAGGGGCUGACAAAGGACCACAGGUUCUGAAGGAGGAGUCGGGAAGAGAGCUACAAAUCAGUUGAACUACUCAGUGACUUUUCCAUGUGUUUCUGCUUUGAAGAGGUAAAACGGAAAAGACCCAGUAGAUGGCCACUUCAUAGAGAGGGGGAGCUAGACAGACUCACAGAUGCUGAAGGACAGAACACAUUUGGUCAGAUUACUGUGUGACUACUGAGUCAGGCCUUUUAGCCACAGUUGCUGGUGUGGCCACAGGCUGGGUCUGUGUGGAAGCAUGUCUUUAGUGUCUUCACACACAUCUGUUGCACAAGUGUGGAGAGGUCGCGUGCAGGACGGAAGAGAGUCGUGCUACAAGCACUGCUGCUACUGAGCUGUUUAAGGUUAGAUGCUGCCAGAGUCUAUUGUCAGGAGGUGCCAGGGCCACACAGACCGAGUUGAAGACUGAGGCAAGUCCUUCUGGUGUCUACCCAGGGGACACAAAGGAACGAGCUAAGAGCUGUACCUGCCCCUUUAGUUUCUCAACACCAGAAACAAACUUGGCUGUUCUCUGCAGGGGCUGUAGGCCGUAGCCUGAGGAAUGCAGGGUUUGGAGGCCAGCUUGUCCAUGUGCCUGGAAUGUCCUUCUUCUUUUGUAGAUGCUUAUCCACAUCUUGUACCAUGUAGCCAGGGGUUCCUUGACAUGGAUGCCCGCAGUGACAAGUCAUGGUAGUGAUGGCCCAGAGAGCCAUCCCCUGGCCUUCUCAAUGAAGACACUAAUGUGUGAUUUCCUGGGGCUCUGGAACUCAGUCCAGGAGCCCAUUCUAUAAGACAGAACAAUUUCUUCUAUAUCAGGCUCCCGAAGUCUGUGGGCUCCAGGGCUAUCCCUUAAGCAUUGCACUAUACCAAGGCUCUACAUGUGAUUGGCAAGUCUGUCAUAGUAUCUGCCCACUAAUACCUCUAAGGUUCUAUAGCAAAGGGCACCACAAGCCUGCUCAGCCUCUUCCCAGACAUGACUUUUGUGGCCAGUCUGAAAUCACAGAGUUUGGCCCCUCCUCAGCUACAAGAACGUUCUUCAGAUGAAUGUUUUUGCGUGCUGUUUUGCUAGGAAUGGAUAGUGAAUUGCCACCACAGAAAAUGGGAACUGUCUCUUCUUCAUGUGUACAGCCCAAGGCCUCUGUCAGGCUCACUAGAGCUCUUCCUGCCACAUGUCUCAUGAUGACAAAUAAUGUUUGAUGAUAUAUCAAUUCUGUGGAAAAGUUUGAUGAUGUUUGGGAGGUGUAGUGUUUUUAUAUGGUCUGCCUCAGUGAUGUUGGAGGCACUGUUUUUGUUCUUGGUGAGCUCAGAUCUUCAAAACUACUUGAAUGUUCUAUGCAGGCAUGGCAUGGCCAGCUGCAUCUCUGCGAAUGUUCCUUAGCCUAGGGUUACUAAUAUACUGUGAUGAUGUCUUUAUUAGAGGGGCUAGACAUUAGGUCCUGCUCCAUUGCUCCCACCUUAAUUUCUGGGAAGCGGCACCACCCACAGUGCUACAUUUAAAAAGAUUAAUAGUAAGUAGAUUCACCUCUAGACUUACAAGCUCCCUAGCCUCACGUUCUUAACCAGAUAUACAGUAUCAAGUAUGAAUUUAUUCCUGUGUAACAGGCUUUGAAUCUAAUAAAGUGGUUGCUUAUCUUCCUAAUAUCUAUGCCACUACCACACCCAUUGCCCUAUAUUGUCAACUUGGUCACUAUGAUAACUCCUGGGGUUUAUAGCUGGGCAGAACUUUUUGUGACUUUCUUUCCAUUCUGGUUUGCUUCUCUUGCUGUGAUAAAACACAGAUGAAAAGCAACUUCCCUAUUUCAUCUCAUCGUCUGCCACGUCCACAGCAGUGACUGCCGUGUAGUGACAAAAUGCCUCUGCGCUGGUCUUUGCCUGCUGAAGGAUUGGGGUUAGAGCUUCUUGGAGCGAAGCCCCUGGUGGUCCCCUGGCAAUCAGUGGUCUAGAUAGGACCUGAUGCCUUAGGCAUAUCUCUUAUCUGGAGAUGGCCUUGAGAGCGAGCCCUCCUUACACCUUGCCUGAUCUUUCUCUGUAUUUCUUAAUUUUCCUGUUUACAGCUGACCGCUUACCAAGAGAUUAAAGUACGUCCUUGGCUCGGCUCCACCGUUCAUUAAAGCAGUCCUUGAGGAACUGAAGUAUGCCCCACGCCACAUGAGCCUGGGAAACUUUAUUAAUUAUGAAACAGAAACGGCUAAAGUUGAUAUGUUAUGAGGGAAUCAUCAUAGUGAAUCAGAUUUAUAGAGAAAAGGAGAGUUAGAGAAAAUUCCCCUUUAUGGAAAGAUUAGCUAGAUCCCAGAAGCCCUGAUGUCUUUAUAGUAAGAAGGAAAGAAAGGAAAUUAUUGAAAACAUGAGACUAGCUUUAAUAUAUUGGUAUAGGAACUAUCAUGAGAAAACUAUUAGGGAAUAUGGAGCAAAGAAUAAAAAACUAUAUAAAUGGGAAGCUAAACACAGGACCCUGAGAACUAGUCUCCCACGGUAGAAUGUAAAUAAUGGUGUGAGACAGAAUUCUAAGAGACAAAACAAAACUAAAAGUCCUUGCCAACAUCUUGAGCACGUAGAGAGGAGCACGUAGAGAGGAGCUCUAUUUUGAUUAUGCUUUGCCUUGAUUUAUGUCUGGAACCCUGAGUGGGGUGAUGCAGUGAGCCUGCCAAGUUCUUUGAUCUGUUUUGUACAAAAACUGAAGCUUUGCAGAAGUAAAAUUGCAGCAGAUUUUCACUACCAGUGUGUCUGUCUGUCAUUCCCUUGCGUCGUAUCCUGGCUAUCCUAUCCUUCAACCCUGUCCUCCCGUGGAUAGCAGUCUCACAGAGGGACGGUCCGUGGCAAUCGUCCAUUAUCAGGGGACGCUAAGGCAGGAACUUAGGGCAGAAACUGAAGCAGAGACCAUGGAGAAAUACUGCCUACUGACUUGCCCCCAAGCUCAAGAUGAGUUGCCUUUCUUAUCUAGCGCAGGCCUACCUGGUAGCCUUCAGAUAGCGCACAUGGUGGGAUGGAUACCAUCGACACCAUUGAACAAUUGAGAAAUGACCAGAGGCCAAUCUGUUUGAGGCCUUUCCCAGGUGACUCAGGUUUGUGUCGCGUUGGCAGCGGAGGCCGACGAUGACACUCUCAGCAGCCCCUUUGCAGCUCUCAACACUGUGAAAGCCAGCCGUCCGGGAGGGAGCUUCCAGUUCAGUACCAGCUCGACUUCUUCAGAUUCUGUGGCCAAGUGUGUGGUGUCUUCAGCAGUGAGGGUCUUACUAUCAAGGUUUUGGGCAACCAAGAACCAUAGUAAUAACCUAUAUUGUUUGGGGACAUCUUUGGGACCCCUUGACUGACAAUUUUAGGGGAGGUAUCCAAAACCGGGCACUGGGUGAUCUUUUUAUUUGGCAACUUCUGGCUUCUGAAAGAAGCAUUAUUCUCCAUGUGGAGUAAGUUCAUUUAAACUGGUGUGUGUGUGUGUGUGUGUGUGUGUGUGUGUAAUUUAGGAAGCUAUAUGGCUCUUUCAAUAUCCUUAGUGUUAUCUUCCCUCCAAACCUCCCUUAUCCUUCCUCCUCUUUCUGCUUAAACCUCCUCUAGCUAGCUCCCCACCCCCACCAUUACGAUUAUGCUAAAUGGAUAGAAUAUCAGAUGGCCUUCUAAAGCCCUUUCUCUACCCAGGUCAGCUCUCCGUCCUCAGAACAAGUGUCAGUGGAGUGGCUACGAACAAGACAUCUGUAUCACACCCACUCCCACCACGGCUCAGGGAACAUUGCGGAAGAGGAGGCGGGAAGAUUGUAAGAGCCAGAGGUCAGGGAGAACGGGGUGUCUCCGGAACAUGACAAGAAUCACUGUACUCCAGCAGCUCUGGUUGCCUGCAAAGUCCCAACAAGAUCAAGCCAAUCAGCAUUUCAGCAUGGGGAGGGGAGGAGCAAGCAGCCCUCAGCCCCUGCUGACAGCUGAUGACUGGUUGGGGAGGCAGAGUCGAUUUUCUUUAGGGAUGUGGGCCAUGGUAGGUGGCCUUACACUCAUAUAAGAGCACCACUUGCUGGACAGGAAGUUGGCAGGAGGACUUGUGUGGUGGAUCCAGGAGGAAAUGGAGGGGGUAGGAGAGUAAAUAUGACAGGAAAACAAUGUUUGCAUGUAUUA
Molecule: long non-coding RNA, 7617 nt
Organism: Alexandromys fortis (reed vole)
Lineage: Eukaryota; Metazoa; Chordata; Mammalia; Rodentia; Cricetidae
Exons: 7
Source: RefSeq, a predicted model, not a curated record